Molecule: ribosomal RNA, 301 nt
Filed under: uncultured bacterium
Lineage: Bacteria
Description: partial 16S ribosomal RNA
Rfam family: Bacterial small subunit ribosomal RNA
Source: RNAcentral
CAGCCGCCGCGGGAAUACGUAGGGUGCGAGCGUUAAUCGGAAUUACUGGGCGUAAAGCGUGCGCAGGCGGUUUUGUAAGACAGGCGUGAAAUCCCCGGGCUCAACCUGGGAAUGGCGCUUGUGACUGCAAAGCUAGAGUGCGGCAGAGGGGGAUGGAAUUCCGCGUGUAGCAGUGAAAUGCGUAGAUAUGCGGAGGAACACCGAUGGCGAAGGCAAUCCCCUGGGCCUGCACUGACGCUCAUGCACGAAAGCGUGGGGAGCAAACAGGAUUAGAUACCCGGGUAGUCCCUGUCUCUUAUAU